RNAcentral lists this transfer RNA (68 nucleotides) under Cautires sp. UPOL VK0067. RNAcentral describes it as "tRNA-Phe". Lineage: Eukaryota; Metazoa; Arthropoda; Insecta; Coleoptera; Lycidae. The record is from RNAcentral.
UAUUUUAAUAGCUUAUAAAUAAAGUAUAAUAUUGAAGAUAUUAAGAAAGCAUUAUGCUUUAAAAUAUU